GGUAUCGCGCAAAGGGUACGCCAAGCUCAAAAGAGCCAUUACAGCCCAUUGGAAUGCAUGUAAGCUGUGACAAGUUUUGCUGUUUGUGAGCGCUUCCCUUGCUGCUUCGCUAAAGUUUUGCCACGGAUCACUGCAGAAAUCCCUCGUGAUUGGAUUCCUUACGUUUUUCGUGUGAAAUCCCGUCACAUACACGUUAUUUCCUGUCUAUUUUGUACUCGUGUGAGGUCGUGUCGUUCCAAUUUUGUACUUUGAACUUCGAUUAUGUGAUUUGCUGGUUUUGUGUGGUGUUGUAUUUGUUGUGUUACGUUUCCUUUGUCGUCUGUCAGCGUGUUGCUUCUGGUGUUUCUCCCAUUUCCUUCUGCUCGGGGGUGUGAAAUGCCAGGGAGCAGUAUUCUCAGAAUUGACUCUCGACAUUCAGCCUUGUUUGGCACGUUUGUUUAUGUAACCACCUUAAUGUGGUUGGGUAUAAACAUUAUGCUUUGCACAGGAAGUUAAGAUAUGACUAGUUAUGACACGAAAUGCCGAACGGCACUAAAGCACUUCCAAAGGACUAGAAUGAUAUGUGAUGUAAAGGCUAUAUGACGGUAAAAACAUAUCGACUAGAAAUAUGUGCACUGGGGAAGUAAAUGGUGGUAAAGACAUUCACUCUACCUCUAGUCAUUUUGAACUAACUCAUAAAAAGGCUAAGUAGCAAGGUCUUGUGGUGAAAGCUCUAAGAUCAAAGUAUCACAAGUCCAGUUGCAACAGCAAGUUUGAAGCAGUCAGCCAGAUGAGGCCUGGCUGUCACCCCUGUAUAUUCCUUGGCAAGGUGGUACAGUCCGGUACUGCUGUAGCAAUGGGAAACUUCUUCGAUCAGACGGAUCACAUUGCUUUCAUUUGGGCUGCAAACAUAUAUUGUCGCAAACUUAAGCAGGGAGAAUAAAGAGUACACAUUC
Ornithodoros turicata is the source of this 935-nucleotide long non-coding RNA. RefSeq lists it as uncharacterized. Lineage: Eukaryota; Metazoa; Arthropoda; Arachnida; Ixodida; Argasidae. The transcript has 2 exons. The record is from RefSeq and is a predicted model, not a curated record.